GGGCACGUGGUGUAGUUGGUUAUCACGCUCGCUUAGCAUUUGCAGGUUGCGAGAGGGGUCCGGUUCGAUCCCGGACGUGUCCA
Molecule: transfer RNA, 83 nt
Filed under: Ganoderma leucocontextum
Lineage: Eukaryota; Fungi; Basidiomycota; Agaricomycetes; Polyporales; Polyporaceae
Description: tRNA-Ala
Source: RNAcentral